Long non-coding RNA from Amphibalanus amphitrite, 1125 nucleotides. RefSeq lists it as uncharacterized. The transcript is spliced from 4 exons. The record is from RefSeq and is a predicted model, not a curated record. NCBI's taxonomy places the organism in Eukaryota, Metazoa, Arthropoda, Thecostraca, Balanomorpha, Balanidae.
AACAGUGUCGGUGGCUGGUGGCAGCGUGUAGGCGCCGUAACAGAACUGGCCACCGCCAACAUUAGCGUAAGCGUGGCGCGGACAGAGACGGCCAAUUGUGACUGGGAUUUGGCAGCAGCAAAGUGCUUCCACUUUCAGCCAUAUAUGACGCAGUAAAGACAUAUAUUGCGCAAACACUCAACAAAGAGGGCUCGUUGCUCGGAAAAAACAACAACUAAGACCGAGACAAUUUUCCCAGAAGGGGACUCAGCUUCAAUUUGAAUUAGCUUGAGUUGUAGAAAAGCUUUUCUAUCAAUACUAGGUGCAGCUCAAGGCUAUAAUACAAAUAGCCUGCAAUGCUGUGUUAGAAAUCUAAGUGGAUGCAAGCAUUAUCUUGAAUCAGAAUCAGCGUGAUGGACUAUUUGAGGAACGUGAUCGACACCCUCCAAGAUCCAUACUUGGUGUCAAGAUUUCAACGUUACUUUGGUAUUAGAGAGACAUCUUAUCCUGAAGCUCCAAAGUUUUAUCAGAGAAAUGGCAGAUCAUAUGCCCGUGACUUAAGCCCAGUCAGUCACGGACAGGAUGAGUAUGUGGAGACGACCACCUUGAAUGAUGAACAGCCGUCAGGUGCAGCUGUGAAGAGAUUUGUUGAAAACAGCAGCACACAUGGAAAUCAAGGGAGUGAUGAUGAAACCUCUGGGUCCGAUUCAGCAGGCUCAGGAAAAUCCAAAAUCAAGGCUUUGCUGUUUCAGAGCAUGACAGCAGAAGGCGAGUACACAGACUCUGAUGGAGAGACAAGAGAUUUUAUAGUCACAAAGCCAUUUUGGCAUGCAUUGUUUGUAUUUGGAAGUGCUCUUGGUGAUGAACUAUUUUAUGCAACAUUUUUCCCAUUGUGGUUUUGGAAUAUUGAUGGAGCUGUUGGAAGAAGAGCAGUUCUAGUCUGGUAUGGCAUCAUGUAUAUAGGGCAGGCCAUGAAGGAUGUCCUGAAGAUACCACGUCCAGCGUGUCCUCCAGUAAUACGGGUGCAGAAGAAGUGGGCUCUGGAGUAUGGAUUUCCCUCUACACAUUCCAUGAUUGGGAUUGCAAUGCCAGCUGCACUCUCAAUAUUUACCAUUGAGCGCUAUCAAUACCCGGUGAUCCCGACAC